AUGGCUUUAGUACGUGAUCUUUGGUUGCCAAGUAGCUUGGGCACGAUGACAUUGCCAAUUUGGCCAUCUAUUGAGGCCGAAAAUUUUGAGUUGAGGCCUGGACUUAUUGCUCUCGUCUUGCAGAAUCAGUUUAGAGGAUUACCCAAUGAAGACCCUCAUGAGCACAUUUGUAAUGUCCUGGAGUAUGCCUAUACUGUCCAGUACCAUGGCGUUUCCCAAGAUGCUAUCAAGUGUAUGUUGUUCACAUUCUCUCUCAGAGAUGCUGCUAAGGACUGGUACUAUUCUUUGUCAUCAAUAUCAUACACUUGGGGUGAUAUUUCGCAAGCUUUCCUGCACAGAUAUUUUCCACUUUACAAGGAAGCUACAAUUCGUGACCAGAUCCUCAGUUUUGCGCAAGAUGGAAGUGAGAGCUUGUAUGCAGCUUGGGAGAGAUAUAAGUAUUUGCUUAGAAAAUGUCCUAAUCAUGGGCAAAAGGAUUGGUUAGUGCUCCAGAUAUUCUAUAGAGGGCUGACACAUGCUUCGAGAGAUCUUAUUGAUAUGUCCGCUGGUGGAACAAUCAUGAACAAGACCGUUGAGGGUGCAAUUAUUCUCAUUGAGAGCAUUGCCUUCCACCAAAUGCAAUGGGGUUAUGAAAGGCCCAGUUCAAAUCCAAAGGUUGCAAGCCAUCUGCAAUCAGAAGCUGUGUGUUCCAUAAGUGAAAAUAAAUCAUCGAUGGUGCCUAAUAUUCAAAACCAGCAUGUUUCAUUCCGGGGACAACAACAUUUCAGAGCUGAAUUAGAUCCUCCAUGUAGAAAGAUUGAUCUUACUUCAAGUAUCCUUGAUGAUGAUUAUGACAUUUUUCAAGAUGAUGCAACCAUUGUAGAUCAGAUGGAAACCACAGUAGCAGAUCCAAUACCUCGAUGCAAUAAAACUAACCAGACUGAGUCAAAGUUGCAAGAAGAUGUUUAUGAGGAACCUACUCUGAUUGAUGCUCAGUUGAGACAACAAGAUAUGGAGAAAUUCACUUGUGUUAGUCAACUAUGUGACUGGUGGAAUUUAGUCGUGGCACCAAUUGCCCACACUUUUGUUACAACUGUAUCUGGGAAAUUUGUCAAGAAGAAAUCAUUAGCUCCACCGGUGGUUGCCUCUAUCUCAGUUAAAGAGAGUAUCUUAGAGAAGAAUAGUGAAGAUGAUAUUCCAACUCCUGCACAUACAUCUAAGCAAGUCAGAGACAUUCCAAGGAGAGAGAUACAAGAGGUUGAGUCAAAUUUAGAAGAGUUGAUACUUCAAUAUCCUGAGAAGAUCCCACGUGUUGCUGAGCUGCAUGACUGGUGGAAGUCAUCAGUGUCAUUGUUGAAACUUAGCAGUGAUGGUGAUGAGGAGAAUAUUUCUCAGAAAGACAGCGAGGUAGUGAUCUCAGCACCCCUACCAGAUCAUGUUAGUGCAUAUUCACAGAUGGGGACACUUCAGACUCAAUUAGGUGUUGCUGGUAGUAGCACCAUAGAAGAUCCAGAGGAAGAGAGAUCUCAACUUGAAGAUGAAAUACUCGAAGAUGAGGAACAAGAUGAUCCAGAGCUCGAACAACCAAGUGAUCAAGUUGAAGAUUCAUCAUCUACUACUCUUGAAGAAGCAAAAUAA
RNAcentral lists this ribosomal RNA (1617 nucleotides) under Triticum aestivum (bread wheat). RNAcentral's name for it is "partial small subunit ribosomal RNA". Lineage: Eukaryota; Viridiplantae; Streptophyta; Magnoliopsida; Poales; Poaceae. The record is from RNAcentral.